Molecule: long non-coding RNA, 551 nt
Filed under: Gallus gallus (chicken)
Lineage: Eukaryota; Metazoa; Chordata; Aves; Galliformes; Phasianidae
Source: RNAcentral
CUGAAAUUUACUACUGGGACUCAAAAGAUGUAUGAAAUUUUCCCUAGUAGUCUUCAUUCAGGUAAUUAGCUUAUCCAUACAAGGCUGAACGCUACGCUACAGGAGGAGUUCUAAACCACCUCCUGUAAUUGGUCCUGAAGUCAAAACCUACUUCACUGAACAUGAAGCUGAAGGGAAACUGAAGAAUAUAGACUAGGAUUUCAACUUAAUCUGGGGAACUGUGGUAAGGAAUAUCCAUGUAAGUGGUUAACUGUAGCAGUAUGAUUUUAUCAUUCUUGCUUCAUUAUUACUUAAGUCGAGGAAAAACUGCAAAAAGUUCAGGUUCCUUUUGAGCUCACGCCUAUUCAUAUUCCUCCACAAUUUUUUAAUUCAUUGGCUGAACUCAACUGAAUCUGAUAAAUCCAUACAGGUCUCAGAGGGAAUGAAGUUUCAACGUAUGACACAGUAUAAGGGAAAAGCUGCUGUGCGAGUUCACGUUAUUGCACUAAAAGAUCUGCUUUAAGAUAGAGCCUUUCUACAUUUCCAGUGAAAGGAAAAGCUGCAGUCAGUAC